CUUUGAUUUGGAAAAGAGCCACCAUGAUGCAGGCGUCCUGGAAAAAGAGGCUAAAGGCAGCCUCUGGUCUUUGAAGCCACAGGAGCCACAGGAGGGACUCUUGGGAGUUUUAUUUCCACCAUCAUGGAGGGGAGCGGUGAGAGGACCUUGCUAGGCCAGCCUUGAACUUGUGAUCCUCCUGCCUCAGCCUCCCAAAUGACUGGGACUGCUGGGUCUCCCUAAGUUGCUGAGGCUGGCCUCGAGCUCCUGAUCCUCCUGCCUUAGCCUCUCCUGUAGCUGGGUAACAGGAAGACUGACUUUGGAGAUGUCCCCAUCUCUGAACUACUCUGGCAGGAUGGUCUCAGCCAGUUGUUACCUGUGCCUGGGCUGCUAAGUUAUUGCAAGAAGUCGCUGUGUCUAUUUGCACACCAAAUACCGUCUGCCGACUAUGAUUGCAACAAGUUCCAGAAGGAAGAAGGAGUCCUCUUGGAGCAGGUUGGAAGCCACCGAGCGGGCCGUCAAGCCAGCAUGCCAUCUCCCUUGGGCCCAGGGGUGUCAUGAGACCUGAGGUCAAGUUUCAGCUUCUCCCCAGCUGGCUGGAUGAUCUUGGGGGCAGCCCCUCGUGACUGGGAGAGCUUCGGUUUCCUCAUCCUGGAGCAGAGAUCGUGAAAAUUAUCUGGCAGGAUUGUCAACAAGCUUAGAGGAGAUAAUGAAAGGACAGUGACGUCCAGAAAGUGAUGGACAGGUGUACAGGAGGUCCGUUGUCCUCUGCUUACACACGCUAUGGGCUGAAGGAUAGAGAUGGUGUCUUGGGUUUUCUUGUUCAGUCCUCCUAACGACAACGGCUCAUUCCUGUCAGCUCCUGUAUCCAACACAGGCCUGGGCAUAGAGAAGACCUCAGAAAAACACGGCCAAUGUUCACCCAGGAACUUAGCAAAUAGAAUCUGGGUGUGCACAAGCCACGCAUGGUGAGAGGGGCAGGGCCGUGCUGUGGUCCAGCGUGGGUCUUGGUGUGAAUCCUCUCCUGCCAUUUGCCAGGUGAGCAAUGUGACCUUGGGCAAGGUGAACACUAAUGUCCUCCUCUAGCACAGUGGUCACUGAUAAUCGGACCUAAUCCAGAAGGCUGUUGGAAGAGACAAAGAGGCUGGUUUGGUCUAGGCACUAAGGUCAGGAGCAGAUCAUGGGUGGUGGUGGUUAUUGUUUUGUUAUAUGCUGAGUGAUUCUUCCAAGAGGUGGCAUGAGAAGAUUCACAAACUGGAGGUGGGAGAUUUGGCUUCUGAUUCUGUUUUUGCACUACGAAGGAUUGAGUUGAGCUAUAUCCCCAGCCCUUUUUAUUUUGUUUUUAAAAUUUUGAGGCAGGUCUCACUAAGUUGUUGAGGCUGCCCUUGAACUUGGGAUCCUUCUGCCUCCCUCCAGAGUUACUGGGAUUACAGGAAAGCACCACCCCACCAGACUUGGGCUUCUGGUUUUGUUAAGAAUUGUCAAAGUCACCAGGUGUUCCGGCACGUGCCUGUAAUUCCAGCAAUCCCGGGGGCUGAGGCAGGAGGAUCACAAGUUCAAGGCCAGCCUCAGCAACUUAGAAAGACCCUAAGGAACUUAGUGAGACUCUGUCUCAAAAUAAAAUAUAAAACAAACUGGGCAUGUGGCUCCAUGGUUAAGUGCCCCUGGGUUCAAUCCCUGGUACAAAAAAGAAAAAAAAAGAAUUGUCAAGGUCUUCAAGGAUGGUAAGAUGCUUAGGACAGCCCUUGGGGUCAACACAAAAAAGGUAGCAAUAAAUAUGCUUGGACAUCAUUUCCCCCAGCUGUGGGCUAGAUUCCUAGGCUAGACAUUGUUGAGUAAGAGGUGUGCAUAUUUAACAUCUUGAACAAAUAUCACAACUGUCCAACAUGCAGAUGUUUCUGUUUGCACUGCCUGUCCACAGACAGAAUAACAGCCUCUCCUGCCCCAACCAGACCAUGUUUUAAGCUUAAAUUUCAUUAAUUUUGACUGGGUAAUAUUUGCAGACGGCACAAAAUUAAAAAAAAAAAAAAAAAGGGAACGAGCAUACAGUGAGACAUUGCCCCCUCCUGUCUCACCCGUCUAUGCUCCUCCCCAGGGACACAAACUUGGACAUUAGACUCUCCGGUAAGUGGAAAAUCAUAUCUCACUAAAUAAAUCUCUGUUAUUCUGAUGUGAAAACCAGUGUGUAUUAUGGAGUAGAAUGUUAUAUUUGAAUGAACUUUAAGAUAAAACAGGAGAUUUAAAGACAUUUUAUGCUCAGGGGUAGGGCCAGGAGGGCACUGUUACUGGCUCUGUCUCUUGCCUUCUCUGGGAGGAAAACUUGGUACAGUUCUUUUUUUAAAUUAUUUUGGUAUCAGGGAUUGAACUCAGGGACACUCAACCACUAAGCCACA
Molecule: long non-coding RNA, 2372 nt
Organism: Sciurus carolinensis (gray squirrel)
Lineage: Eukaryota; Metazoa; Chordata; Mammalia; Rodentia; Sciuridae
Exons: 5
Source: RefSeq, a predicted model, not a curated record